CCUACGGGAGGCAGCAGUGGGGAAUAUUGGGCAAUGGACGCAAGUCUGACCCAGCAACGCCGCGUGAAGGAAGAAGGCUUUCGGGUUGUAAACUGCUUUUAAGGGGGAAGAGCAGAAGACGUUACCCCUUGAAUAAGCCACGGCUAACUACGUGCAAGCAGCCUCGGUAAUACGUAGGUGGCAAGCGUUGUCCGGAUUUACUGGGUGUAAAGGGCGUGCAGGCGGGGAUACAAGUCAGUGGUGAAAUCCACGGUCUCAACCCGUGAACUGCAUUUGAAACUGUUUCCCUUGAGUGUCGGAGAGGUAAUCGGAAUUCCAUGUGUAGCGGUGAAAUGCGUAGAUAUAAGGAAGAACACCAGAGGCGAAGGCGGAUUACUGGACGAAAACUGACGGUGAGGCGCGAAAGCGUGGGGAGCAAACAGGAUUAGAUACCCUAGUAGUC
RNAcentral lists this ribosomal RNA (442 nucleotides) under uncultured bacterium. RNAcentral's name for it is "partial 16S ribosomal RNA". It matches the Rfam family "Bacterial small subunit ribosomal RNA", at positions 338 to 795 of the family's 1533-position model. The record is from RNAcentral.